GUGAGUAGUUCAGAGUUUGAUCCUGGCUCAGGACGAACGCUGGCGGCAUGCCUAACACAUGCAAGUCGAACGGAGAAUCACUUCGGUGAUUCUUAGUGGCGAACGGGUGAGUAACGCGUAGGCAACCUGCCCUUUGGAUGGGGACAACAUUCCGAAAGGAGUGCUAAUACCGAAUGUGACGAUUUUACCGCAUGGUUUAAUCGUGAAAGAUGGCCUCUACAUGUAAGCUAUCGCCAAAGGAUGGGCCUGCGUCUGAUUAGCUAGUUGGUGGGGUAACGGCUCACCAAGGCGACGAUCAGUAGCCGGUCUGAGAGGAUGAACGGCCACAUUGGGACUGAGACACGGCCCAG
RNAcentral lists this ribosomal RNA (350 nucleotides) under uncultured bacterium. RNAcentral's name for it is "bacterial SSU rRNA". It matches the Rfam family "Bacterial small subunit ribosomal RNA", at positions 1 to 334 of the family's 1533-position model. The record is from RNAcentral.